RNAcentral lists this unclassified non-coding RNA (305 nucleotides) under plant metagenome. RNAcentral describes it as "partial contains 5.8S ribosomal RNA, internal transcribed spacer 2, and large subunit ribosomal RNA". The stretch from base 1 to 105 matches the Rfam family "5.8S ribosomal RNA", at positions 50 to 154 of the family's 154-position model. The record is from RNAcentral.
GAAAUGCGAUAAGUAGUGUGAAUUGCAGAAUUCAGUGAAUCAUCGAAUCUUUGAACGCACAUUGCGCCCUUUGGUAUUCCUUAGGGCAUGCCUGUUCGAGCGUCAUCUAAACCUUCAAGCCCUACUUGGUGUUGGGUGCCUGUCCCGCCUCCGCGCGCGGACUCACCUCAAAUCCAUUGGCGGCCCCCGCGUCGGCCACGAGCGCAGCAGAAACGCGAACUCGUGAGCCCGUCCGGGCGGCUCCCAGAAGCUACACCCACCCAGUUUGACCUCGGAUCAGGUAGGGAUACCCGCUGAACUUAAGC